UACGUAGGGUGCGAGCGUUUGUCCGGAAUUAUUGGGCGUAAAGGGCUCGUAGGCGGUCUGUCACGUCGGGAGUGAAAACACGGGGCUUAACCCCGUGCCUGCUUCCGAUACGGGCAGACUAGAGGUAUGCAGGGGAGAACGGAAUUCCUGGUGUAGCGGUGAAAUGCGCAGAUAAUCAGGAGGAACACCGGUGGCGAAGGCGGUUCUCUGGGCAUUACCUGACGCUGAGGAGCGAAAGUGUGGGGAGGCGAACAGG
This 256-nucleotide ribosomal RNA is filed under the name uncultured bacterium. RNAcentral's name for it is "partial 16S ribosomal RNA". It matches the Rfam family "Bacterial small subunit ribosomal RNA", at positions 524 to 776 of the family's 1533-position model. The record is from RNAcentral.